Molecule: ribosomal RNA, 638 nt
Filed under: Pseudomonas aeruginosa
Lineage: Bacteria; Pseudomonadati; Pseudomonadota; Gammaproteobacteria; Pseudomonadales; Pseudomonadaceae
Description: bacterial SSU rRNA
Rfam family: Bacterial small subunit ribosomal RNA
Source: RNAcentral
UAGUGGGGGAUAACGUCCGGAAACGGGCGCUAAUACCGCAUACGUCCUGAGGGAGAAAGUGGGGGAUCUUCGGACCUCACGCUAUCAGAUGAGCCUAGGUCGGAUUAGCUAGUUGGUGGGGUAAAGGCCUACCAAGGCGACGAUCCGUAACUGGUCUGAGAGGAUGAUCAGUCACACUGGAACUGAGACACGGUCCAGACUCCUACGGGAGGCAGCAGUGGGGAAUAUUGGACAAUGGGCGAAAGCCUGAUCCAGCCAUGCCGCGUGUGUGAAGAAGGUCUUCGGAUUGUAAAGCACUUUAAGUUGGGAGGAAGGGCAGUAAGUUAAUACCUUGCUGUUUUGACGUUACCAACAGAAUAAGCACCGGCUAACUUCGUGCCAGCAGCCGCGGUAAUACGAAGGGUGCAAGCGUUAAUCGGAAUUACUGGGCGUAAAGCGCGCGUAGGUGGUUCAGCAAGUUGGAUGUGAAAUCCCCGGGCUCAACCUGGGAACUGCAUCCAAAACUACUGAGCUAGAGUACGGUAGAGGGUGGUGGAAUUUCCUGUGUAGCGGUGAAAUGCGUAGAUAUAGGAAGGAACACCAGUGGCGAAGGCGACCACCUGGACUGAUACUGACACUGAGGUGCGAAAGCGUGGGGA